Molecule: transfer RNA, 72 nt
Filed under: Camelus bactrianus (Bactrian camel)
Lineage: Eukaryota; Metazoa; Chordata; Mammalia; Artiodactyla; Camelidae
Also listed under: 1 other name
Rfam family: tRNA
About the family: Transfer RNA (tRNA) molecules are approximately 80 nucleotides in length. Their secondary structure includes four short double-helical elements and three loops (D, anti-codon, and T loops).
Source: Rfam by way of RNAcentral
GAGGUUUUAGCUUAGUGGUAGAGUGUGUGCUUAGCAUGCACGAGGUCCUGGGUUCAAUCCCCAGUACCCCCA